This 67-nucleotide transfer RNA is filed under the name Taxus wallichiana var. wallichiana. Its description in RNAcentral is "partial tRNA-Leu". The record is from RNAcentral. Lineage: Eukaryota; Viridiplantae; Streptophyta; Pinopsida; Cupressales; Taxaceae.
UUGAGCCUUGGUAUGGAAAAAUCCGUUGGUUUUAUAAACCGUGAGGGUUCAAGUCCCUCUAUCCCCA